AUGUUUUUUGAACAGUAAUAAAAUCUUUUAAUCAUCUGUUCUUAUCAGUUUAAUAUCUGAUACGUCCCCCAUCGGGGACUAGCAUAUUAAAUGGAUUUUUCGAACAGGAGUCGGAAAUGGGGCUUGCUCCGUCCGCUCCACGCAUCGACCCGGUAUUGCAGUACCUCCGAACACGGUGCAACACUU
RNAcentral lists this small nuclear RNA (186 nucleotides) under Salmo salar (Atlantic salmon). RNAcentral's name for it is "U2 spliceosomal RNA (ENSSSAG00000086665.1)". It matches the Rfam family "U2 spliceosomal RNA". From Rfam's summary of the family: U2 is a small nuclear RNA (snRNA) component of the spliceosome (involved in pre-mRNA splicing). Complementary binding between U2 snRNA (in an area lying towards the 5' end but 3' to hairpin I) and the branchpoint sequence (BPS) of the intron results the bulging out of an unpaired adenosine, on the BPS, which initiates a nucleophilic attack at the intronic 5' splice site, thus starting the first of two transesterification reactions that mediate splicing. Lineage: Eukaryota; Metazoa; Chordata; Actinopteri; Salmoniformes; Salmonidae. The record is from RNAcentral.